Molecule: ribosomal RNA, 591 nt
Filed under: uncultured eukaryote
Lineage: Eukaryota
Description: bacterial SSU rRNA
Rfam family: Bacterial small subunit ribosomal RNA
Source: RNAcentral
GCUAAUACUCUAUACGCCGAGAGGUAAAAGGAUUUAUCCACCUUAGGAAGAGCUCGCGUCUGAUUAGCUUGUUGGUAAGGUAAUGGCUUACCAAGGCGACGAUCAGUAGCUGGUUUGAGAGGACGACCAGCCACACUGGGACUGAGACACGGCCCAGACUCCUACGGGAGGCAGCAGUGGGGAAUUUUCCGCAAUGGGCGAAAGCCUGACGGAGCAAUACCGCGUGAGGGAUGAAAGCCUGUGGGUUGUAAACCUCUUUUCUCAAGGAAGAAGUUCUGACGGUACUUGAGGAAUAAGCAUCGGCUAACUCUGUGCCAGCAGCCGCGGUAAUACAGAGGAUGCAAGCGUUAUCCGGAAUCACUGGGCAUAAAGCGUCUGUAGGUUGCCUACCAAGUCUGCUGUUAAAGAUCAGGGCCUAACCCUGGGAAAGCAGUGGAAACUAGUAGGCUUGAGUGUGGUAGAGGUAGAGGGAAUUCCUGGUGUAGCGGUGAAAUGCGUAGAUAUUAGGAAGAACACCAAUGGCGAAAGCACUCUACUGGGCCAUAACUGACACUGAGAGACGACAGCUAGGGGAGCAAAUGGGAAUAGAUA